GACGAACGCUGGCGGCGUGCCUAAUACAUGCAAGUAGAACGCUGAAGAGAGGAGCUUACUCUUCUUGGAUGAGUUGCGAACGGGUGAGUAACGCGUAGGUAACCUGCCUUGUAGCGGGGGAUAACUAUUGGAAACGAUAGCUAAUACCGCAUAACAAUGGAUGACACAUGUCAUUUAUUUGAAAGGGGCAAUUGCUCCACUACAAGAUGGACCUGCGUUGUAUUAGCUAGUAGGUGAGGUAAUGGCUCACCUAGGCGACGAUACAUAGCCGACCUGAGAGGGUGAUCCGCCACACUGGGACUGAGACACGGCCCAGACUCCUACGGGAGGCAGCAGUAGGGAAUCUUCGGCAAUGGGGGCAACCCUGACCGAGCAACGCCGCGUGAGUGAAGAAGGUUUUCGGAUCGUAAAGCUCUGUUGUAAGUCAAGAGCGGGUGUGAGAGUGGAAAGUUCACACUGUGACGGUAGCUUACCAGAAAGGGACGGCUAACUACGUG
This 497-nucleotide ribosomal RNA is filed under the name uncultured bacterium. Its description in RNAcentral is "partial 16S ribosomal RNA". It matches the Rfam family "Bacterial small subunit ribosomal RNA", at positions 28 to 507 of the family's 1533-position model. The record is from RNAcentral.